CGUUAUUCNGGAUUUACUGGGCGUAAAGGGCGCGUAGGCGGUCUUAUAAGUCAGAUGUGAAAGCCCGGGGCUCAACCCCGGAAGUGCAUCUGAAACUAUGAGACUUGAGUAUGGGAGAGGGAAGUGGAAUUCCUGGUGUAGCGGUGAAAUGCGUAGAGAUCUGAAGGAACACCAGUGGCGAAGGCGACUUCCUGGACUAAAACUGACGCUGAGGAACGAAAGCGUGGGUAGCAAACGGGAUUAGAUACCCCGGUAGUCCACGCCGUAAACGAUGUCAACUAGCCGUUGGGCCUAUAUACAGGUUUAGUGGUGGAGCUAACGUAUUAAGUUGACCGCCUGGGGAGUACGGCCGCAAGGUUAAAACUCAAAUGAAUUGACGGGGGCCCGCACAAGCGGUGGAGCAUGUGGUUUAAUUCGAUGCAACGCGAAGAACCUUACCAGCCCUUGACAUCCAGAGAAGCUACUAGAGAUAGAAGUGUGCCUUCGGGAACUCUGUGACAGGUGCUGCAUGGCUGUCGUCAGCUCGUGUCGUGAGAUGUUGGGUUAAGUCCCGUAACGAGCGCAACCCUUAUCCUUAGUUGCCAGCACGUAAUGGUGGGAACUCUAAGGAGACUGCCGGUGACAA
RNAcentral lists this ribosomal RNA (625 nucleotides) under uncultured bacterium. RNAcentral's name for it is "bacterial SSU rRNA". It matches the Rfam family "Bacterial small subunit ribosomal RNA", at positions 539 to 1161 of the family's 1533-position model. The record is from RNAcentral.